UCAGGCCUAACACAUGCAAGUCGAGCGGUAGCAGGAAGUGCUUGCACUUCGCUGACGAGCGGCGGACGGGUGCGUAACACGUAGGAAUCUGCCUGGUAGUGGGGGAUAGCCCGGAGAAAUCCGGAUUAAUACCGCAUACGCCCUACGGGGGAAAGGAGGGGACUCUUCGGAGCCUUUCGCUAUCAGAUGAGCCCGCGUCGGAUUAGCUUGUUGGUGGGGUAAAGGCCUACCAAGGCGACGAUCCGUAGCUGGUCUGAGAGGAUGAUCAGCCACACUGGGACUGAGACACGGCCCAGACUCCUACGGGAGGCAGCAGUGGGGAAUAUUGCACAAUGGGCGAAAGCCUGAUGCAGCCAUGCCGCGUGUGUGAAGAAGGCCCUAGGGUUGUAAAGCACUUUCAGUGGGGAGGAAAGGUUGAAGGUUAAUACCCUUCAGCUGUGACGUUACCCACAGAAGAAGCACCGGCUAACUCCGUGCCAGCAGCCGCGGUAAUACGGAGGGUGCGAGCGUUAAUCGGAAUUACUGGGCGUAAAGCGUGCGUAGGCGGCCACCUAAGUUGGAUGUGAAAGCCCCGGGCUCAACCUGGGAACUGCAUCCAAAACUGGGUGGCUAGAGUACGGGAGAGGAGUGUGGAAUUUCCUGUGUAGCGGUGAAAUGCGUAGAUAUAGGAAGGAACACCAGUGGCGAAGGCGACACUCUG
This 700-nucleotide ribosomal RNA is filed under the name uncultured bacterium. RNAcentral's name for it is "bacterial SSU rRNA". It matches the Rfam family "Bacterial small subunit ribosomal RNA", at positions 42 to 731 of the family's 1533-position model. The record is from RNAcentral.